RNAcentral lists this ribosomal RNA (443 nucleotides) under uncultured bacterium. RNAcentral describes it as "partial 16S ribosomal RNA". It matches the Rfam family "Bacterial small subunit ribosomal RNA", at positions 338 to 795 of the family's 1533-position model. The record is from RNAcentral.
CCUACGGGAGGCAGCAGUGAGGAAUAUUGGGCAAUGGACGCAAGUCUGAACCAGCAACGCCGCGUGAAUGAUGACGGUCUUCUGAGUGGUAAGCUGUUUUCGUAGGAAGGAAGACAGUGACGGUACCUUAGGACUAAGCCUAUGCUACCUACGGGCCAGCGGCAGCGGCAUUACGGAGGACGCAAGCGUUAUCCGGAAUCAAUGGGUGUAAAGGGUGCGUAGGUGGUUGGACAAGUUAGUAGGGAAACUCAGAUGCUCAACUUCGGAAUUGCUACUAAUACUGUUUGACUUGAGAGUAGUUGCGGGAAUCGGAAUGUAUGGUGUAGCGGUGAAAUGCUUAGAGAUUAGGCAGAACACCAGUGGCGAAGGCGGAUUACUAGACUAUAACUGACGCUGAGGCACGAAAGCGUGGGGAGCAAACAGGAUUAGAUACCCGAGUAGUC